GACUCCAUAGCUCAGUGGUUAGAGCGCUGGUUUUCGGAACCAGUGGUCGCGAGUUCGGUCCUCGCUGGAGCCU
Transfer RNA from Astyanax mexicanus (Mexican tetra), 73 nucleotides. It matches the Rfam family "tRNA". Rfam says of the family: Transfer RNA (tRNA) molecules are approximately 80 nucleotides in length. Their secondary structure includes four short double-helical elements and three loops (D, anti-codon, and T loops). The record is from Rfam. Lineage: Eukaryota; Metazoa; Chordata; Actinopteri; Characiformes; Acestrorhamphidae.